CAUUAGCUGGGUCUCUGGAUUAAUAGUCUCAUGAUAAUGCCACUAGGCUGUUGCCUUCUCUACCUCCUUCCAAGGCCAUUGGAAAGCAAACAAGCUUUGAACUUGUGCCCUUGAAUGUUAUCUUUGAUCCGUCUUCCAACGUUCUUAUAACGAAUAAUGUUCAAACAAAAGGGGAAAAGAAAUCACCUUUAUCUUAAAGCCCUAUGUUUAUUCUCCUAGAGGUGCUCGCAGCAGAGCUCUGGAAAUCAACCUUUUGAUAGCUGGAGACUCUGGGGACAAUGCUGGAGCAUUGGCCACCCCUGGGAGAUUGUGAGGGAUGUGGCAUUUAAAACUUCAGAGAGGAGACUAGCAAUAAAACAGAGAAAAGAGAUGGAAUAGUUGGGAUUAAGCCAGAGAUGGCAAGUUAGAGAUCAGAGCAGUGUUGCACGUGGAGAGGUCAGAAUGGGCCCUCCAGGUGGUAUUGAUAAAGCACUCUGAGAAUGUCAGGUGUAAAAGUGAUAGAGACCAAUCAGAUUGAACAAUGAUGACCCAGUGCUGAAUGAAGGGGGUGUGGGGGGUGCUGACUAGGUUGGUGGAAGUGGUGACAAUCAAUAACUUCAAAAGGAAAUUGCAUUGGCACUUGAAGAGAAUAAACACGCAGGGCUGCUGAGGUAGAGUAAGGGAAUGGGAGAGUCUGAAUUGGUCUACAGACAGCCAGUAUGGAUUCAGUUGCUGAAUAGCCUCCCUCUGUGAUAUAACUGGUCACUGCAAAGUGGAUUCAGUCUGGUGAUACGGCAUUAAACAGCCAUCAAUCCUUCUGAGCAAUAACCUGGUCAGGAUGGCGAUAAACAGAACUGGGGCCUAACAGAUCCAGACCCUCGUUGCCAAGACUGCUGGUUCUUGCUGAUUGGUUAAGGAGUCAGUCUCUCUUCCUUUUAACUUGUGUAGCUAAGCAUUAGUUUCUUUCCUUCUUUAUUGUGGAGGCAACAAGUGAAAAUAAUGCUGAUUGCAACUGGGCUUGCAUAGUAUUUUUUUCCCCUGAUUGGACAAGAGUUACCAAAUGACUUAUUUUGUAAUCCAUUACAGAAAGUGAUGUGAGCAUGCCCUGAGCUUGAAGAGAAUGAGUGGCGUGAACAUCAUUCCCAGCCUUACAAAGUUAGUGUUGGAUGGUGUAUUCAGUGAACACUGGUCGCCAAGCUCGUUCUGGGUCAUGCGAA
This is a long non-coding RNA of Rhincodon typus (whale shark), 1196 nucleotides long. RefSeq lists it as uncharacterized. NCBI's taxonomy places the organism in Eukaryota, Metazoa, Chordata, Chondrichthyes, Orectolobiformes, Rhincodontidae. The transcript has 2 exons. The record is from RefSeq and is a predicted model, not a curated record.